This is a long non-coding RNA of Aethalodelphis obliquidens (Pacific white-sided dolphin), 1764 nucleotides long. RefSeq lists it as uncharacterized. The record is from RefSeq and is a predicted model, not a curated record. NCBI's taxonomy places the organism in Eukaryota, Metazoa, Chordata, Mammalia, Artiodactyla, Delphinidae. The transcript is spliced from 3 exons.
GUCGUCACCCAUGUGCUUCAUGAUGUCAUCAGGGUCAACCAGUGAACUCUCAUCAUCUAAUGGAGGCAAGAGAGACAUGACUCAGAAAGUGAGCCCUCAGAGGACAAAGAUUUUUGUUCCUUUUGUUCACUCCUGUGCCCACAAACACCUAGAAUAUUAGCUGGUCCACAAAAAUUGUUGAGAAGAGUUAAACAACUCCCUCACGUGGAACUGAAGGAAACUGAAUUCAACUCCAGGCACCUGGUUCCGGGGCAAAGAUUUUGGAUCAGGUAACCCAAAGGCCCCUCUGAUAUGACCAGGGUUCCUAUGUGUUCCUCUCAAUAGUGCACUUUAUCCUUUUAGCUACUGCCUGUGGGAAUAAAUAGGCUGCCAAUGAUAGCCUGUAUUCCUUGUUAAAAUAUUUUAUACCCACAUUUUUGAUUGUUUUAUAGUUAAACCAUAUUCUUAUGAAUUAAAUCAUCACAGUGUUUGGUAGAAGUUGUGGGGUAGUUGCUGUAGGGGAUGGAUACCCUCAGUCCCAAAAUGGACCUAUUUCCACAUGGGGACUACUUUUGGGCUAAUCAGAGCAAGUUGCCAAGAUCACACCAGAUCAGAUCAUCAGUUGGGUCUCCUAAGGAAAAAUGCCACCAAAAUGGGUGUAAAGGUUGAAGACUGUACCUGCUUCUCUCUUCUCUCCUGAUGAUAUGCCUACUAUUUAUCACAGACUUUGGGUUACUCUGCUGUCAGAGGGUGAUCAGUGAGACCACUGUUAAAAAUUCUAUGCAAGAUGGAGGAAAGACUUUCCCUGUCAGUCUUUACUGAAGCCUUGACCUGUGAUCAGGGCCUAAAGUGGUACAUCACUUACUCCUGUGAUACUCUCAUGUAGUCAAAAAUAGGUUCUUCAGAUUCUGUAGGUCAGACAAGCCUGCUAGUAAGGUAGGGUUUUGAAUUUUCCUGAAAAUAACUGCUAGGACCAUCUCCUUCUAUUCUUGUUACCUAACUGCUGCAUUUUUAUGACUCAUUUUCCAUGGCUGCACUCAAUGGCCUGAAGGCAGGCAAAGCUGGUGAGAUAUGUGUGAAGGUCAUGCAGGACACCCGGGUCAAUAGGGCCCACUGAUGUUCUCUGAGGCCACUAGCUCCGCUCCACCUUUAGGUGCCUGCCCACCCCACCCCCAGUUACACACUCCCAAGGGACCCUAGAUAUCUCCUUUGCAACAUUCAUCACACUCACACUUUUUAAGCAUCUAAAUUCUCCAACAGAGUAUAAGCCCCUUGAGAGCAGUGGCAUAUUUCAUUCAUCACCAUAUACCCUGGAUAUAGGUCACUACCCAGGCUCAUAGUAGGCACUCAGUAAGUAUCUGUUGAUUGGCUAAUUACAAAGAAAUAUACUCAUAGCCCAGUCUGAAGCUUUACAGAUUUUAUGCUAUAUCAAAACUCACAGACACACACAGUAGAGAAAUGUCCCAUAGGACACCGAUGUGUCUGCCCAGCAUUCCUUACCCUGGUGCAGAUACCACCUGGCCUAGUCAAGGUACUCAAUCCUCCUGGCUAUCAUGAGUGGCUGGACCCCUCCCGUGCACAAAUAACAUACACCAGUCAAGCCAAUCACAGCCCUCUCUGGGACUUACUCUUCUCAGGGACUGUAGGCCAAAAGGGGCAUGUGAGUAUGGAGCUGCCAGUGGAGGGAGCCUGCCUCGGAUUGAAAUCAAUACCAGAGACUGAGAAAGCCAACAAAAAAACAACCCAUUGAAACUGUGAAACAGCAAUGAUUAUUUCUUACCUUCA